AGCAGCCGCGGUAAUUCCAGCUCCAAUAGCGUAUAUUAAAGUUGUUGCAGUUAAAAAGCUCGUAGUUGAAUUUCGGGAUUGACACAUCGGUCGUGCCUUAAGGGGUAUGAACUGGUGUAGUCAAUUUCUCACCUUCUGGAGAACCGCGAUGCCCUUAAUUGGGUGUCACGGGGAACCAGGACCUUUACUUUGAAAAAAUUAGAGUGUUUAAAGCAGGCAUUUUGCUUGAAUACAUUAGCAUGGAAUAAUAAAAUAGGACGGCAUGAUUCUAUUUUGUUGGUUUCUAGGAUCACCGUAAUGAUUAAUAGGGAUAGUUGGGG
Molecule: ribosomal RNA, 320 nt
Filed under: uncultured Entrophospora
Lineage: Eukaryota; Fungi; Glomeromycota; Glomeromycetes; Entrophosporales; Entrophosporaceae
Description: SSU rRNA
Rfam family: Eukaryotic small subunit ribosomal RNA
Source: RNAcentral